CCCCUCGCGGCAUUGUACCUGGAGAGUUUCCAGAACUCUACCAGUCCAGACUAUGGAAGAGAGAGUCAAGCAGAGGCAUACCCAUUCCAUUCCUAGCUUGGGCAGUGGCUAGUGAGUGGAAGACAAUCUGCUACAAGU
Molecule: small nucleolar RNA, 138 nt
Filed under: Ornithorhynchus anatinus (platypus)
Lineage: Eukaryota; Metazoa; Chordata; Mammalia; Monotremata; Ornithorhynchidae
Source: RNAcentral